Long non-coding RNA from Dasypus novemcinctus (nine-banded armadillo), 1572 nucleotides. Lineage: Eukaryota; Metazoa; Chordata; Mammalia; Cingulata; Dasypodidae. The record is from Ensembl.
UGAAGGAAUUCAGGACCUAGAGAAGACGGGAUGAGGUUAGAGUUAGGCUUCCCUGGAAGCUUCCUCCUACCCUCCGGGCCUCUCACCUCUACUGAAUAGCAUCUCUCCAGAAUGAAGGCAAGAGGUGUGGGGAAGGAGGGAGGAAGAAUCAAAAGCGACAGGGAUGUAGAUGCAGCCAGGUCUUCAAGAAGGAGAACUGUGUGGGAAGAAAGGGAGUAACAGGACCGCCAAAUGAAAUUAAGAGGUUCAAUAAUAAGGAAAUCUGUGCUUCAGGCCCUCACAGAGCCCUGGAGAAACACUGAGUUCACUGAUAAGUCCGCUGGUAAGAAAUGUUAGCAAGCUCUAUCCAGGAGGAUUGGGCCUCUGCCAGCCUCACUAACAGAAUGUUCUAAUGUUCUUGAGAGUAAUCCAGAAGGAGACAGGCCUUGGUGCCCUAAACUUUGCCUUUGCCCAGCAUGGCCUUGGAGCAUAAAUUUCUGCAUACUCAGAAGGGUACCAAAGUAAGGAAUUUUGCAAAGAUGGGAAUGAGAGUGAUAUUAGAUCUAUCUGUCUAGACAGACAACCAAAGAAACAGAGAAGACAAUGGACAUCCAGUGGAGGCCAGCAAGAAUAGGUUUGUCAAGACGAUUCAAGACUUUUCCAGGUUUUCAGAAGAGAAGCUUCCUCUUUUCCUGGAGUGUGUGGUGUAAACGCACAGGAGGCCUGGGACCCUGGCAGCCAUUUAGCCCCCAUGUGAGAAGCAGCCCAAGACACAAGGAACACACAGCUGAAAGAACCAAGAGAAAUCAAGCCGAAGCACUGAAACAAACCACAGUUGAAAACAGAUCUACCCCAGAACUUUUCACUAAUAUAAGCAAAUAUAUUCCCCUUCAGUGUGCUUUUUUUGCAACCCAAAUUAUCCUGAGACAUCAGUUUAAUUCUAUAUUCAAGAAGCAAGCCUAAUACAGAAUGUAAAGAAAAUCUGAAAAUAAAAGCAUACAGAAUACUGCAUCAGAUAAAUGUAUGCAAACAGAAAGCAGGAUGGCAAACUCAAAAUUAAAUAAGUUUUUUUGGUAGGUACCGGAGAUUGGUCCUGGGACCCCCUACAUGUGAAGCAGGCUCUCAACCACUGAGCUACAUCCACUCCCCAAGUUAAGUAAGAAUUCAAGAUCAAAGUCCUUAAGAAAAAGAGGUAUAAUAUGAAAUACACGAAAAUACAAUUUAUGAAUUCUUGAACACUACAAAUUAUAGCAGCAAAAUCCAGAAAGCAAAACUGUGAAAAAGGCAAGGAAUUCCUUCAUAAAAAUUAGCCAUGUUGGCGAAUUUUCAAUAAAAAUUUGAACACCAGACAAAAUAUUUUGAUAAUUAGAUUCUCCCUCUUUUUUGUAUCAUCAAAUUACCUGUCUACUGGCUCUUUCCCAUACAAGUAUGUUAUUAUUUCUCCUAUCUUAUAAAUUUGUAAAAUUACCAUAUGACCAUGUAAACCCACUCCUAGCUAUAUACCCCAAAGAAUUGAAAUAAGGGUUCCAAAUAUUUGUGCACUAAUGUUGAUAAAGGUAUUAUUCACAAUUGCCUUGAGGUGGUAGCUAUCCU